Molecule: ribosomal RNA, 550 nt
Filed under: uncultured bacterium
Lineage: Bacteria
Description: bacterial SSU rRNA
Rfam family: Bacterial small subunit ribosomal RNA
Source: RNAcentral
UGGGGAAUCUUCCGCAAUGGACGAAAGUCUGACGGAGCAACGCCGCGUGAACGAUGACGGCCUUCGGGUUGUAAAGUUCUGUUAUACGGGACGAAUGGGACGACGGCCAAUACCCGUCGUAAGUGACGGUACCGGAAGAGAAAGCCACGGCUAACUACGUGCCAGCAGCCGCGGUAAUACGUAGGUGGCAAGCGUUGUCCGGAAUUAUUGGGCGUAAAGGGCGCGCAGGCGGCGUCGUAAGUCGGUCUUAAAAGUGCGGGGCUUAACCCCGUGAGGGGACCGAAACUGCGAUGCUAGAGUAUCGGAGAGGAAAGCGGAAUUCCUAGUGUAGCGGUGAAAUGCGUAGAUAUAUGGAAGAACACCAGUGGCGAAAGCGGCUCUCUGGUCUGUAACUGACGCUGAGGUUCGAAAGCGUGGGUAGCAAACAGGAUUAGAUACCCUGGUAGUCCACGCUGUAAACGAUGAAUGCUAAGUGUUGGAGGGUUUCCGCCCUUCAGUGCUGCAGCUAACGCAUUAAGCAUUCCGCCUGGGGAGUACGACCGCAAGGUUG